Molecule: non-coding RNA, 27 nt
Filed under: Rattus norvegicus (Norway rat)
Lineage: Eukaryota; Metazoa; Chordata; Mammalia; Rodentia; Muridae
Source: RNAcentral
GAACCCAGUGACUCUUGCUUUGUUCUC